RNAcentral lists this unclassified non-coding RNA (325 nucleotides) under Hevea brasiliensis (rubber tree). The record is from RNAcentral. Lineage: Eukaryota; Viridiplantae; Streptophyta; Magnoliopsida; Malpighiales; Euphorbiaceae.
GGAGCCCGGGCCGUCCGGGAAGCCAUACUCCGCGCGCUACAUCGGCAGCCUCGUCGGCGACUUCCACCGCACGCUGCUCUACGGCGGCAUCUACGGCUACCCCAGGGACCAGAAGAGCAAGAACGGCAAGCUGCGGCUGCUGUACGAGUGCGCGCCGAUGAGCUUCAUCGUCGAGCAGGCCGGCGGCAAGGGCUCCGAUGGCCACCAGAGGAUACUUGACAUCAUGCCUACGGAGAUCCAUCAGAGAGUGCCGCUGUACAUCGGGAGCGUGGAGGAAGUGGAGAAGGUCGAGAAGUUCUUGGCUUGACUGCAAGUUUCAUAUACG